AAGAGCACCUGUCGGGGAAGGUAAAAACCUUCGACAGAUGGUUCGGGUCGAGCGCAAGCGAGACAACGUUGCCAGAGGCAACGGCCCGAAAGGUGAGGAAUGAAGUGACGAAUAAUCCUUCCCCCACCACCA
RNAcentral lists this small RNA (132 nucleotides) under Enterobacteriaceae bacterium 4M9. Its description in RNAcentral is "RtT sRNA". It matches the Rfam family "RtT RNA". From Rfam's summary of the family: This family represents a bacterial cis-regulatory element known as RtT RNA. The exact function of RtT is unknown although it is thought that it may be involved in changing the cellular response in relation to amino acid starvation. The record is from RNAcentral. Lineage: Bacteria; Pseudomonadati; Pseudomonadota; Gammaproteobacteria; Enterobacterales; Enterobacteriaceae.